CUACGGGCUGCUCCAGUGAGGAAUAUUGCACAAUGGGGGGAACCCUGAUGCAGCAACGCCGCGUGGAGGAUGACGCAUUUCGGUGUGUAAACUCCUUUUAUAUGUCAAGAAAAUGACGGUAGCAUAUGAAUAAGCACCGGCUGAACUCCGUGCCAGCAGCCGCGGUAAUACGGAGGGUGCAAGCGUUACUCGGAAUCACUGGGCGUAAAGGACGCGUAGGCGGGUUGGAAAGUCAGGUGUGAAAUCCUACAGCUUAACUGUAGAACUGCACUUGAAACUUCUAAUCUAGAGUAUGGGAGGGGGAGAUGGAAUUAGUGGUGUAGGGGUAAUAUCCGUAGAUAUCACUAGGAAUACCUAAAGCGAAGGCGAUCUCCUGGAACAUUAUUGACGCUAAGGCGUGAAAGCGUGGGGAGCAAACAGGAUUAGAUACCCCCGUAGUC
RNAcentral lists this ribosomal RNA (440 nucleotides) under uncultured bacterium. RNAcentral describes it as "partial 16S ribosomal RNA". It matches the Rfam family "Bacterial small subunit ribosomal RNA", at positions 339 to 795 of the family's 1533-position model. The record is from RNAcentral.